AUACGGAGGGUGCAAGCGUUGUUCGGAAUCACUGGGCGUAAAGGGCGCGCAGGCGGUUUUACAAGUCAGAUGUGAAAGCCCACGGCUCAACCGUGGAAGUGCAUUUGAAACUGUAAGACUUGAGUAUCAGAGGGGAAGGUGGAAUUCCCGGUGUAGAGGUGAAAUUCGUAGAUAUCGGGAGGAAUACCGGUGGCGAAGGCGACUUUCUGGCUAGAUACUGACGCUGAGGCGCGAAAGCGUGGGGAGCAAGCAGGAUUAGAAACCCUAGUAGUCC
RNAcentral lists this ribosomal RNA (274 nucleotides) under uncultured bacterium. Its description in RNAcentral is "partial 16S ribosomal RNA". It matches the Rfam family "Bacterial small subunit ribosomal RNA", at positions 523 to 796 of the family's 1533-position model. The record is from RNAcentral.